GACGAACGCGGCGGCGUGCUUAACACAUGCAAGUCGAACGAAGAGCGAUGGAAGCUUGCUUCUAUCAAUCUUAGUGGCGAACGGGUGAGUAACGCGUAAUCAACCUGCCCUUCAGAGGGGGACAACAGUUGGAAACGACUGCUAAUACCGCAUACGAUCUAAUCUCGGCAUCGAGGAUAGAUGAAAGGUGGCCUCUAUGUAUAAGCUAUCACUGAAGGAGGGGAUUGCGUCUGAUUAGCUAGUUGGAGGGGUAACGGCCCACCAAGGCGAUGAUCAGUAGCCGGUCUGAGAGGAUGAACGGCCACAUUGGGACUGAGACACGGCCCAGACUCCUACGGGAGGCAGCAGUGGGGAAUCUUCCGCAAUGGACGAAAGUCUGACGGAGCAACGCCGCGUGAGUGAUGACGGCCUUCGGGUUGUAAAGCUCUGUUAAUCGGGACGAAAGGCCUUCUUGCGAAUAGUGAGAAGAUGACGUACCGAA
Molecule: ribosomal RNA, 481 nt
Filed under: Veillonella dispar
Lineage: Bacteria; Bacillati; Bacillota; Negativicutes; Veillonellales; Veillonellaceae
Description: bacterial SSU rRNA
Rfam family: Bacterial small subunit ribosomal RNA
Source: RNAcentral